CCUAAUCCAAUGACUGAUGUCUUUAUGAAAUAUAGAAAUUUGGACACAGAGGCAGAUAUGAACAGAGGGAAGAUUAUGUGAUGAGAAUAGGAGAAUGCCACAAGACAAGGACACCAUGGACUAACAGCAGCUGGAAGACACAGAGAACGAUCCUCCCUGUCAGGUUUCAGAGAGAGCACUGCCUGCUGACAUCUUGAUGUUAGACUUCUAGCCUCUGAAAUGGUUCUAGAAGUCAGUAGCAUUCCUUGGCUUGUGAAAUCCUUCCUCCAUCUUCAAAUCCAAAAACAGAUAAUCUCCCUAUUUUAAGGUCAUCUGAUUAGGAACUUCAAUGCCAUCUGGAAUCUUCAUUCCCCAUUGCCCAUGUAAGAUCCAGGUCCAGCACUGACCACAGGGGAUCCAUGACCCCUUCUUCCAUCCAAGAGCACCAGUGGACACGUAUUCUGCAGCCUUCAUAGUAAGUUGUUUCUGGCAAGAGAAGGACAACAAACUGCUAAAGGAACAAGGAUAGACUCCGCUUCUUAAAUAUUGGCAAACAGGCAGCGAGGGCUGGAGACACUUUCUCAGGUCAGUACACAGACAAAACAAAAAUAUCUGAUGGACUCUCAAAUUGGUCUAGGAGCUAAACACAGCAAGCAACACUCCAGUUAAUAUAAAGAAGGCUUCCAACAGAAACCAAGAGGAGAGCAAGGAGAAAUGCACAGAACUUGCCCGUUCUGUUGAAAGACAAACUUGAGGCCUAAACUAGCUUCUAAAUGAAGGACGAGAGAACAUUUCAAUAAAUAAAUACCUACAUAAAAUAAAAUGGUAACCCUAUAAAAACAUUGAGUAACAUAAAAUUAGAAACUUUUUAUUCAACACUUUCAGGGAAGGCUCUAGAAAAGGAGCAAAAUAAUCUUCUCCGUUUUCUUAAUGCAUUUCAUGAAACAAGGAUGUUCAUGGCAUGAACGUUGAGAACGUUUGGGCAAUAGACCUUAGCAAAGAGUUGGCCAGGGAGAAAGUACAGAUGGCAAGAGAGCUGGAUUUAAUAAAGAAAGGUGAAAGACAGUGACAGAAUUUGUUACUUUUAGAAUCUUUAAAGUAAAGAACAGGACUGCUACCAGAGAAAUCAAAGCAGUGACAUUGGAGGCCGUUCGAAGAGUCAGAACAAAACAUGAAACAUGAAUGAGAACAUGGGACGUGAGCAGGAUCGACUAGAGAUCUAAGCCGUGAUAACUGGGAAAGUAAGAUAGCAGCAGGGACUAGAAGAAUUUCUUGAAGAAGAGAACUAUCUUGAGUUGAAUAAAUCCAUUAAGUACCAACAAAAGUAUAAUUAAAAUAAACUAAUAUCCAGAUAGAUCAGGUGAAAUUUUCACUUCAAGGGCAAGAAAAACAAUGCUAGAAAUAUCCAAUUUGAAAAAUGAAGAAGGUCAGUUUGAAAUACAAAUGUUGCAGACAAAUGGAAAAAAAUAUAUCAGAAUGACUUCAGUAUUCUUUUUUCUUUGAGGAGGAAAAGUUGAAAAUGGAAAAUUUUCUUCAGAAGUAAAAGCACUUGUCUCUGAUUUGGUUUCCCCUUUCCAAGUGCAGCUAAGAUUGCAAUUCUAUGCCUGUUUAAACUUCGUGUAGGUGAAGUUGUAAUGAUAAAAUGAAAAUAGGUAGUCAGGGGCCAGCCCGGUGGUGCAGCGGUUAAGUUCACACAUUCUGCUUCAGUGGCCCAGGGUUCACUGGUUCGGAUCCCAGGUGUGGACAUGGCACCUCUUGGUGAGCCAUGCUGUGGUAGGUGUCCCACAUAUAAAGGGGAGGAAGAUGGGCAUGGGUGUUAGCUCAGGGCCAGUCUUCCUCAAAAAAAAGAAAGAAAGAAAAUAGUCAGAUAGAUGAGAUAUAAAUAGAUAUCUCCUUUAAGGUAGUGCUAGUUGAAAUCCAAUGCACAUCCUACUGCUGGUCUGGGACAAUAUAAGUAUAGAAACUGAAUAUAAAUUGAGACUAUGCAUUUAGCCCUUUAAUAGCAAUUUGCCAUUGCAUGACAUCUGAGAACGCAACAGUAUAUUUUAACAAAAAUGAGUCUGCAAAAAUUUGAAAUUACAAAUAAACUUGCUCUUUACCACAGAUAAUUUGAGGAACUCUUAUCUCAAAAGAUGAAGUGGGGCUUAAAAUGCAAAUCUAAAGACAUUUCAAGGAAACAAAAACAGGAAGGAGGUACAUGUUGAUUGGCGACAUCACAUUGAAGCAAAAGAGAUAAACUUGAUAUUCUAUCAGUUAGUAUUUUUUUUUUUUUGAGGAAGAUUAGCCCUGAGUUAACUGCUGCCAGUUCUCCUCUUUUUGCUGAGGAUGACUGGUCCUGAGCUAACAUCCGUGUCCAUCUUCCUCUACUUUAUAUGUGGGACGCCUACCACAGCAUGGCUCACCAAGCGGUGCCAUGUCCGCACCCGGGAUCCGAACCAGCGAACCCCGGGCCACCGAAGCAGAUCGUGUGCACUUAACCACUGCGCCACCAGGCAGGCCCCUCAGUUGGUAUUGUUUAGUGACAAAAAUUGGCAAACUCAAAUAACUUUGACUCAACAAGAAAUAGCUUUCCCUCUCUCUCUGUAAGAAUUCUGGAGGUCAGCCAUCCAGGGCAGGUCAGGCGAGUCCUUCUUCACCAUCCUUAGAUUGAGGUCUAUAUUCUCAAGGAGGAAGAAUGGAAAGACAACAAGUUGUCUGCCUCCCAGCUGAAUUAGCCCCUUUAAAAAAAUAAUUUUCUGUGAUCACCACCUCAGAAAUUCUGCUUUUAUCUCAAUGGUUGAAAGAGCCUAAAAUGGAAUCUGAGAAGUAUACUUUUACAGAUGGGCACAUCCUUGUCCCUGACUUUACAGGAACAGAGUCCUAAGGAAGAACAGGGCAAGGGACAAUGAGUAGAUAACUUUCAGCCUUGACUUUUCGAAUGGUCCCCAUCACUACUAUUGUGACUAGGUUCUUCCCGCUUCUAGACGAAACUAGAACUAGAAACUCUGCUUCCUGUCAGCUUCUCCUCCAUUUUUGACCAACUCAGGAAAUGGCCCUAGAUUUCAUUUGCUUCAAUCAAAAUUCAGGAAGUUGUGUUUAGCACUAUUCAGCAUAUAAGAAAAAGUUAUGACUCAGAAAAUUUCUUCACAGCUGUUCCAUGUGGUAGAAAUUAUUUCUUUUCCCUUCUACUACAUUUUAACUGGAGUUGAACUCUCCAACUGGAGUUAAAAAUUGCCUUGCUUAGUUGGCUAUAUGCCUAUCAAUUAUUCACAAUAACUUCCUUCCAUAAGUGUAAAUCUUCUUUCAAUACAUCCAAACACAUCGGGUGUGAUGUUGUCACGUUCUUGUGGCCAUCUCCCCGGAGCCCUCGGAUUGUCUCUUCAGUCAGGAACAGAAAGGUCAGCUGCACAGCUGUUGCCCUGAGAUUUUGUAUUCUAUAACCUUCUUUCUCUUGUGCUGAGCUCCCUCUUUCUUGGUUUCCAUUUAUUACUGUUUUCUGUUUCACUACUUCACUUUGGGGAGACCGCUCUUUCAAUAAUUUCCUGAGAAAUAGUCAAGGGAAAUCAAUUUUUUGAGGUCUUCCUUGUCUGAAAAACUUUGUUGUUCUAUCAUCAUAUGUAAGUGAUAUUUAUAUUUAGUAUAGAUUUAUAGGAUAGAAAUAAACUUUCCUCAAGUUUUGAAGGCAUAUUUCCAAUUUGGGAUUAAACUUCCAGGGCUGCAGGUAACCAUUUGGAUGCUAUUCAGAUUCCAUAUGCUUCGCAUGUGCCCUUAUUUUCUUUGUCUCUCUCUAAAACACUUUAACGUCUUAUCUUUGUGCCCAGUGUUGUAACAUUUCCUGAUCAUAUGCCUUGCGGUAGGUAUUUGUGUCAUUAAUUGUGGUAGGCAUUUGACAGAUCUUUUCAACCAGAAAACUCAAAGCACUUGAGUCUGUAAAAAUUUUUUAAUUUAAUUGUUUUGCUGGGUGGAGUACUGUACGAUUUGGAAUUCUUAUUACAUUCAACCUGUAGAACUAAUCCUGUUGUAUUUUUAAACUUUUCUAUUUAUCAUAUUUUAAACUUAUGAUUUGCUUUAUCGGUGAUUUCCGCAACUUUAGCUUGUAAGCCAUCUGUUAUGUACUGAAUUGUGUCCCCCAAAAUUCCUAACCUCCAGUUGAAGUCCUAACCCCAAGUGCCCCAGACCAUGACUAUAUUUAGAGAUACAGUCUUUAAGGAGGCAAUUAAAUUGAAAUGAGAAUAUUAGGGUAGACCCUAAUAAGAAGAUGAAAUAGGAACACAGAUAGCUAAAGACAUACAGAGAGAAGACCAAGUGAAGACACAGAGAGAAGACAGCCAUCUACAAGCCAAGGAGAGAGGCCUCAGAAGAAAUCCAACCCUGUGUACACCUUGAUCUUGGACUUCUAGCCUCCAGAACUGCUCCUCACCAUCCCAGGCAACGAAGGUGUUGAUAACGUGUUGAUUUGAUAUUGAGAAGAAGCAACUAAGAAGAGCGGGAACUUCCGGAGAACAAUGUUAAAUCAGGAGACACUAUUCUCUGCCUACAUUAAUCAAAUGUCUAUAAAUUAAGGUGGUACACAUUGGAUGGCCAAGCUGGUCAUUAGUGAAAUGCAGUGGAUCCCUGACAUAAUGGUGAAAUUCAUCAAUAUAUGCAUUCCUGAGACUUCCCAACUCACUGUACUUUCUCUAAAAAGUCUUCAUGUUGACUCAUGAGGGCUCCAAUCUGAAAGCGUAAAUUACACUUUAAACUGGAAAACAAUUCAAAAUUGUUGUGAAAAACUGUAGACUUUGGAGUCAGUCAUGCCUGGUUUUAACUCCUGACUUUCCAGCUGGGACAACUCAUGAAGUUUUCUUGAGGCAACAGCAGAUCUUAAAGAUAACACACUAGUGCUUUUAACACAGUGCUGGCAAAUAUUAGCUGGCAGGGAAGUGGAGUUAUCGUAUGAUUGCUGUUAUUGUUUUGGUGGUUAUUUUGAUGAUUGUUAUCAUUUGAUUAGUUAGGGCCCCAGAAGCUGGGAAAAGGAGGAGUAAUAGCAAAUCAGCAAAACAUCAUCUUGUGAAGAAAGAAGUGGUGAAAUAACUAUGCCCUAAACAGUACAGAAAUAACUCCCUGGUUUGUGGGCUAAAGUUUGAAUUAUUAUAAUAUGUAUUAUUUCGAGACCCUGCACAAAAGCUCUGAUAAGUGCCUCCUCUCUUUUGUGGCUGAUAUGGAGGUGAUUAAGAAUAUUAUAAUCGUUAGCACUUUAGAUUUAUUCUAUUUAUUGUGGUAGGUAAAAUAAUGGCCCCCCCAAAAUAUCCAUUUCCUAAAUCUGAGAACCUGUAACUACAUUACCUUAUGUAGCUAAAGGGACUUUGCAGAUGUGAUUAGGGCUAUAAACCUUGAUAUGGGAAAAUAUCCUGUAUUAUUUGGAUAGGCCCAAUUUAAUCACAUGAGCUCUUAAAAGCAGAAGAUGGAGGCAGAAGAGCUGGUCAGAGAGAUGUAACACGAGAAGAACCUGAUCCAUCAUGGUUGGCUUGGGAGAUAGAGGAAAGGGGCCAAGAGCAAAGAGGGUGGGGAUGCCUCUAGUAAAUGGGAAAAGACCUUGGCUACCAGCUCAACAACUGCAAGGAACUGAAUCCCACCAACAUCCCAAAUGAGCAUCUUUUAGAACCUCCAGGAAGGAACACAGCCCUGCCAGAAGCUUCAAUUUUGUUCACUGACACUUAUGUUGGACCUCUGUUAAAAGAAUUAUAAAAUAAUAAAUUGUGUUGCCUAAGCUGAUAAAUUCAUGGUCAUUUGUUAUGGCAGAAAUAGAAAACUAAUAUAUCUAUGACUGAAAAAGAUUAUGUACAUAACUAAACACUGAUGUUCUUUAAUGCCAGAUUAUGAUUGCUGAUCUAUAUACCUUGAAGUUAUAUUUAUUGGAGGAUAAAUCUUGAGAGUGUUAAUAUGCACAUAACCAAAAUAAAAAUUUUACUGGACAUAUGUUUCAAUAUUUGGGAUACAAAAAUACCAAUAUAUUUUUUAGCAAUAAUGCAUAAUACAAUAC
This 5980-nucleotide long non-coding RNA is filed under the name Equus caballus (horse). RNAcentral describes it as "lncRNA (ENSECAG00000045918.1)". Lineage: Eukaryota; Metazoa; Chordata; Mammalia; Perissodactyla; Equidae. The record is from RNAcentral.